UACAGAGGUCUCAAGCGUUGUUCGGAUUCAUUGGGCGUAAAGGGUGCGUAGGCGGCGCGGUAAGUCGGGUGUGAAAUCUCGGGGCUUAACUCCGAAACUGCAUUCGAUACUGCCGUGCUUGAGGACUGGAGAGGAGACUGGAAUUUACGGUGUAGCGGUGAAAUGCGCAGAUAUCGGGAGGAACACCAAUUGCGAAGGCAGCUCGCUGGGACGUGACUGACGCUGAGACGCGAAAGCGUGGGGAGCAAACAGG
This 253-nucleotide ribosomal RNA is filed under the name uncultured bacterium. Its description in RNAcentral is "partial 16S ribosomal RNA". It matches the Rfam family "Bacterial small subunit ribosomal RNA", at positions 524 to 776 of the family's 1533-position model. The record is from RNAcentral.